RNAcentral lists this ribosomal RNA (738 nucleotides) under Triticum aestivum (bread wheat). RNAcentral describes it as "partial small subunit ribosomal RNA". Lineage: Eukaryota; Viridiplantae; Streptophyta; Magnoliopsida; Poales; Poaceae. The record is from RNAcentral.
AUGGAGGUCGAGUCGCUGGCCGACAGCGUCGACCUGUCGGAGCUGCUCACCCGGGCCCGCUUCGAGGAGCUCAACGCCGACCACUUCCGCAAGGUCAUGGCGCCUGUCAAGAAGGCCAUGGCGGACGCCGGGCUGGCCAAGGGCGACGUCGACGAGGUGGUGCUGGUCAGCGGCAGCACGAGGAUCCCCAGGGUGCAGCAGCUCCUUCGCGACUACUUCGGCAGCGAGGUGCCCCACAAGGGCGUCAACCCUGACGAGGCCGUGGCCUACGGCGCAGAGGUGCAGGGCGGCAUCCUGCAUGGCGACGCCAAGAAGGUUGUGGUGCUGGACGUGACGCCGCUGACGCUGGGCAUCAAGACGGCCGGCGGCGUGAUGGUGAGCGUGAUCCCCCGGAACAUGCCGAUCCCGACCAAGAGGGCCAAGAUGUUCACCACGUACGAGGACAGGCAGACGACGGUGACCAUCAUGGUGUUGGAGGGCGAGCGGAGCAUGACCAAGGUCAACCAGCUGCUGGGCAAGUUCGACGUGACCGGGAUCGCGCCAGCGCUGAGGGGCACGCCGCAGAUCGAGGUGACCCUGGAGGUGGACGUGAACGGCAUCCUCCACAUGGGGGCGGCGGACAAGGGCAUGGACCAGCCGGAGAAUAUCGAGUUCAGCAGCGCCGGCCGUUGCAUCACACACGAGGAGAUUGAGCGCAUGGUGCAAGAGGCGGAGGUGUUCACCGAGGAGGACAGGUAG